RNAcentral lists this small nuclear RNA (95 nucleotides) under Neotoma lepida (desert woodrat). The record is from RNAcentral. Lineage: Eukaryota; Metazoa; Chordata; Mammalia; Rodentia; Cricetidae.
NUGAUAGCUUCAGCAGCACAUAUACUAAAAUUGGAAGACUAGAAUGGCCCCUGCACAAGGAUGACAUACAAAUUCAGGAAGCAUUCCAUAUAGAA